Molecule: ribosomal RNA, 270 nt
Filed under: uncultured archaeon
Lineage: Archaea
Description: partial 16S ribosomal RNA
Rfam family: Archaeal small subunit ribosomal RNA
Source: RNAcentral
CUGCAGCUCAAGUGGUGAUCAUUAUUAUUGGGCCUAAAACGUCCGUAGCCUGUUUAGUAAAUGCCUGGGUAAAUCGUGUAGCUUAACUAUACGAAUUCCGGGUAGACUGCUAAACUUGAGACCGGGAGAGGCUAGAGGUACUCCUGGGGUAGAGGUGAAAUUCUGUAAUCCUAGGGGGACCACCAGUGGCGAAGGCGUCUAGCUAGAACGGGUCUGACGGUGAGGGACGAAGCCCUGGGGCACAAACCGGAUUAGAGACCCGCGUAGUCC